RNAcentral lists this ribosomal RNA (1346 nucleotides) under uncultured bacterium. RNAcentral's name for it is "partial 16S ribosomal RNA". It matches the Rfam family "Bacterial small subunit ribosomal RNA", at positions 28 to 1381 of the family's 1533-position model. The record is from RNAcentral.
GACGAACGCUGGCGGCGUGCUUAACACAUGCAAGUCGAACGGAAAGGCCCUGCUUUUGUGGGGUGCUCGAGUGGCGAACGGGUGAGUAACACGUGAGUAACCUGCCCUUGACUUUGGGAUAACUUCAGGAAACUGGGGCUAAUACCGGAUAGGAGCUCCUGCUGCAUGGUGGGGGUUGGAAAGUUUCGGCGGUUGGGGAUGGACUCGCGGCUUAUCAGCUUGUUGGUGGGGUAGUGGCUUACCAAGGCUUUGACGGGUAGCCGGCCUGAGAGGGUGACCGGCCACAUUGGGACUGAGAUACGGCCCAGACUCCUACGGGAGGCAGCAGUGGGGAAUAUUGCACAAUGGGCGGAAGCCUGAUGCAGCAACGCCGCGUGCGGGGUGACGGCCUUCGGGUUGUAAACCGCUUUCGCCUGUGACGAAGCGUGAGUGACGGUAAUGGGUAAAGAAGCACCGGCUAACUACGUGCCAGCAGCCGCGGUGAUACGUAGGGUGCGAGCGUUGUCCGGAUUUAUUGGGCGUAAAGGGCUCGUAGGUGGUUGAUCGCGUCGGAAGUGUAAUCUUGGGGCUUAACCCUGAGCGUGCUUUCGAUACGGGUUGACUUGAGGAAGGUAGGGGAGAAUGGAAUUCCUGGUGGAGCGGUGGAAUGCGCAGAUAUCAGGAGGAACACCAGUGGCGAAGGCGGUUCUCUGGGCCUUUCCUGACGCUGAGGAGCGAAAGCGUGGGGAGCGAACAGGCUUAGAUACCCUGGUAGUCCACGCUGUAAACGGUGGGUACUAGGUGUGGGGUCCAUUCCACGGGUUCCGUGCCGUAGCUAACGCUUUAAGUACCCCGCCUGGGGAGUACGGCCGCAAGGCUAAAACUCAAAGGAAUUGACGGGGCCCCGCACAAGCGGCGGAGCAUGCGGAUUAAUUCGAUGCAACGCGUAGAACCUUACCUGGGUUUGACAUGGAUCGGGAGUGCUCAGAGAUGGGUGUGCCUCUUUUGGGGUCGGUUCACAGGUGGUGCAUGGCUGUCGUCAGCUCGUGUCGUGAGAUGUUGGGUUAAGUCCCGCAACGAGCGCAACCCUUGUUCACUGUUGCCAGCACGUUAUGGUGGGGACUCAGUGGAGACCGCCGGGGUCAACUCGGAGGAAGGUGGGGAUGACGUCAAGUCAUCAUGCCCCUUAUGUCCAGGGCUUCACGCAUGCUACAAUGGCUGGUACAGAGAGUGGCGAGCCUGUGAGGGUGAGCGAAUCUCGGAAAGCCGGUCUCAGUUCGGAUUGGGGUCUGCAACUCGACCUCAUGAAGUCGGAGUCGCUAGUAAUCGCAGAUCAGCAACGCUGCGGUGAAUAAGUUCCCGGGGCU